AACAGAACAGAAUCUUCAUCAUCACACAAGACAAAACAACAACAAUGAACAACAUCAUCAUCCUCAUCUGGACUCUGACUCUCUGCAAUCAGGAGAUCUGGGGACAAGUGACAGUCACUCAGAAUCCAGAAAUAAAAUCCAUCAAACAAGGAGAAACUGUUACAAUCAGCUGUAAAACCAGUCAGCCGAUUUCUGGCUGUAAUGACUGUGUGUCUUGGUAUCAGCAGAAACCUGGAGAAACUCCUAAACUCCUCAUUUAUUACAUAAGAAGCCUUUAUUCUGGAACUCCAUCUAGAUUCAGUGGCAGUGGAUCUGACUAUGGAAGUGAUUUUACUCUGACCAUCAGUGGAGUCCAGACUGAAGAUACAGGAGAUUAUUACUGUCUGAGUUUACACCAGAUCAGUGGUAACUGGGUGUUCACACAGUGA
Non-coding RNA from Labeo rohita (rohu), 428 nucleotides. The record is from the annotation of a RefSeq genome assembly. Lineage: Eukaryota; Metazoa; Chordata; Actinopteri; Cypriniformes; Cyprinidae.